UACGAAGGGGGCUAGCGUUGCUCGGAAUCACUGGGCGUAAAGGGCGCGUAGGCGGCGUUUUAAGUCGGGGGUGAAAGCCUGUGGCUCAACCACAGAAUGGCCUUCGAUACUGGGACGCUUGAGUAUGGUAGAGGUUGGUGGAACUGCGAGUGUAGAGGUGAAAAUUCGUAGAUAUUCGCAAGAACACCAGUGGCGAAGGCGGCUUGCCAGAACGCGCUCGACGGUGAGGGAUGAAAGCGUGGGGAGGCAAACAGG
RNAcentral lists this ribosomal RNA (255 nucleotides) under uncultured bacterium. RNAcentral describes it as "partial 16S ribosomal RNA". It matches the Rfam family "Bacterial small subunit ribosomal RNA", at positions 524 to 776 of the family's 1533-position model. The record is from RNAcentral.